CCUCGCACUUUGGUCAUUUUGACUAAAGUUCGAUAUUUAUUUUCUGAAUUUUCGGUAUAUUACAUUCUCCUCCCUUAAAAUAAUUUCGUCCGUGAAAUUACGCAUACCUUAACUCGUUGACUCGAAUAAAUGCAGGUAGUCCCGCCGUAUCGUUUCCUCGAGCUCCCAAGUGGCUUCUCACAAAGCAUGGUUGCUCCACUGGACUUUCACAUAUGGAAUCCUGCGACUUCGCAACUUCUUAACUUCUCGGUCGAGGAUGCACACCGGGUACUCCUCAUAAGACAUAUCUU
Molecule: long non-coding RNA, 290 nt
Filed under: Ananas comosus (pineapple)
Lineage: Eukaryota; Viridiplantae; Streptophyta; Magnoliopsida; Poales; Bromeliaceae
Description: long non-coding RNA (ACOM_LNC013669)
Source: RNAcentral